This 497-nucleotide ribosomal RNA is filed under the name uncultured bacterium. RNAcentral's name for it is "partial 16S ribosomal RNA". It matches the Rfam family "Bacterial small subunit ribosomal RNA", at positions 28 to 507 of the family's 1533-position model. The record is from RNAcentral.
GAUGAACGCUGGCGGCGUGCCUAAUACAUGCAAGUCGAGCGAACAGACGAGGAGCUUGCUCCUUUGACGUUAGCGGCGGACGGGUGAGUAACACGUGGGUAACCUACCUAUAAGACUGGGAUAACUUCGGGAAACCGGAGCUAAUACCGGAUAAUAUUUCGAACCGCAUGGUUCGAUAGUGAAAGAUGGCUUUGCUAUCACUUAUAGAUGGACCUGCGCCGUAUUAGCUAGUUGGUAAGGUAACGGCUUACCAAGGCAACGAUACGUAGCCGACCUGAGAGGGUGAUCGGCCACACGGGAACUGAGACACGGUCCAGACUCCUACGGGAGGCAGCAGUAGGGAAUCUUCCGCAAUGGGCGAAAGCCUGACGGAGCAACGCCGCGUGAGUGAUGAAGGUCUUCGGAUCGUAAAACUCUGUUAUUAGGGAAGAACAAACGUGUAAGUAACUGUGCACGUCUUGACGGUACCUAAUCAGAAAGCCACGGCUAACUACGUG